UACGUAGGGUGCAAGCGUUAAUCGGAAUUACUGGGCGUAAAGCGUGCGCAGGCGGUCUUGCAAGACAGAUGUGAAAUCCCCGGGCUUAACCUGGGAACUGCAUUUGUGACUGCAAGGCUGGAGUACGGUAGAGGGGGAUGGAAUUCCGCGUGUAGCAGUGAAAUGCGUAGAUAUGCGGAGGAACACCGAUGGCGAAGGCGAACCCCUGGACCUGUACUGACGCUCAUGCACGAAAGCGUGGGGAGCAAACAGG
RNAcentral lists this unclassified non-coding RNA (253 nucleotides) under uncultured Gammaproteobacteria bacterium. RNAcentral describes it as "contains 16S-23S intergenic spacer region". It matches the Rfam family "Bacterial small subunit ribosomal RNA", at positions 524 to 776 of the family's 1533-position model. Lineage: Bacteria; Pseudomonadati; Pseudomonadota; Gammaproteobacteria. The record is from RNAcentral.